GGGGUGAGGAGUUCUUCUUAGUGUCAAUCACAUUGAUGGAUCAAUCUUUGAUCAUUCAAAGUUUGUUAAGAGUCCAACUGCUUUUGAAUUUGAUUGUGUCAACUCUUUGACAUUAUCAAAUCUUUGACUUAUCAACCUUUGACAUGUCAAAUUUUUGACUCAGAUUUAAAUUGAGUCCCAUCAAAUUAAAUACAACUAUCUGAUCAGACACAAUCUUUUUUAUGUAUGACUACAUAGGUUC
This 241-nucleotide long non-coding RNA is filed under the name Elaeis guineensis (African oil palm). RNAcentral describes it as "long non-coding RNA (EGUI_LNC032583)". Lineage: Eukaryota; Viridiplantae; Streptophyta; Magnoliopsida; Arecales; Arecaceae. The record is from RNAcentral.